Molecule: ribosomal RNA, 253 nt
Filed under: uncultured bacterium
Lineage: Bacteria
Description: partial 16S ribosomal RNA
Rfam family: Bacterial small subunit ribosomal RNA
Source: RNAcentral
UACAGGGGGGGCAAGCGUUGUUCGGAAUUACUGGGCGUAAAGGGCUCGUAGGUGGCCAAUUAAGUCGGACGUGAAAUCCCUCAGCUUAACUGGGGAACUGCAUCCGAUACUGGAUGGCUUGAGUUUGGGAGAGGGAUGCGGAAUUCCAGGUGUAGCGGUGAAAUGCGUAGAUAUCUGGAGGAACACCGGUGGCGAAGGCGGCAUCCUGGACCAACGCUGACACUGAGGUGCGAAAGCGUGGGGAGCAAACAGG